RNAcentral lists this ribosomal RNA (301 nucleotides) under uncultured bacterium. RNAcentral's name for it is "partial 16S ribosomal RNA". It matches the Rfam family "Bacterial small subunit ribosomal RNA", at positions 509 to 807 of the family's 1533-position model. The record is from RNAcentral.
CAGCCGCCGCGGUAAUACGAGGGGUGCAAGCGUUAUUCGGAUUGAUUGGGUGUAAAGGGUGUGCAGACGGCUUAUUAAGUCACUUGUUAAAUUCUUCGGCCUAACUGAAGGUCUGCAAGUGAUACUGAUGAGCUAGAGGGUGGAAGAGAGAAGUGGAAUUCUCGGAGUAGCGGUAAAAUGCGUAGAUCUCGAGAGGAACACCAAUGGCGAAGGCAGCUUCUUGGUCCAUUCCUGACGUUCAUACACGAAAGCGUGGGGAGCAGACAGGAUUAGAUACCCGCGUAGUCCCUGUCUCUUAUAC